Molecule: ribosomal RNA, 2699 nt
Filed under: human gut metagenome
Description: bacterial LSU rRNA
Rfam family: Bacterial large subunit ribosomal RNA
Source: RNAcentral
CGGGCGCACGGCGGAUGCCUUGGCACAGGGAGCCGAUGAAGGACGCGGCAAGCUGCGAUAAUCCCCGGCGAGGAGCACACAUCCUUCGACCCGGGGGUCUCCGAAUGGGCGAACCCAUGCACAGCGGUGUGCAUAUCCCCACCCCGAACACAUAGGGGCGGGGAGGACAACCCGGGGAACUGAAACAUCUAAGUACCCGGAGGAGAGGAAAUCAAUCUCGAGACUCCCCGAGUAGCGGCGAGCGAAAGGGGACCGAUGGCCAAACCGUCGAGCGGGCGUACCCGGCAGGGGUUCCGCCGACGGGGUUGCAGGGCCGCGCAUCCGGGGGCUGCCGCCCCCGGGCGCAGGUCCGGCUGGGGAGCGGAACGGCAUGGGAGGGCCGGCCGCAGCGGGUGAAAGCCCCGUACGCGAACCCAGACCGGACGGCGCGACGCGGUCCCUGAGUAGGGCCGGGCACGUGAAACCCGGUCCGAACCUGGGUGGACCACCAUCCAAGCCUGAGUACUACCCUGUGACCGAUAGCGCACCAGUACCGUGAGGGAAAGGUGAAAAGCACCCCGGGAGGGGAGUGAAACAGUACCUGAAACCGUGCGCCCACGAGCAGUCGGAGCACCUAUACGGUGUGACGGCGUGCCUUUUGUAGAAUGAGCCAGCGAGUCGCUGGCGCGGGGCGAGGUUAACCGAAAGGGAGCCGUAGCGAAAGCGAGCCUUAACAGGGCGACUUGAGUCCCGCGCCGCGGACGCGAAGCCGGGUGAGCUAUCCGUGGGCAGGCUGAAGCGGGGGUAAGACCCCGUGGAGGGCCGAACGCACGUCGGUUGAAAACGGCGGCGAUGACCUGCGGAUAGGGGUGAAAGGCCAAUCAAACCCGGAGAUAUCUCGUUCUCCCCGAAAUAGCUUUAGGGCUAGCGUCGCGCGUUCACCGCCGGAGGUAGAGCACCGGAUGGACGAGGGGGCUUCGCCGCCUACCGAAUCCAACCGAACUCCGAAUGCCGGCGGCCCAGAGCGCGGCAGUCAGAGCAUGUGGGCUAAGCUGUGUGCUCGAGAGGGAAACAGCCCGGACCGCCCGCUAAGGUCCCCAAGUUCCAGCCGAGUGGCAAAGGAUGUGCGUCCGCCCAGACAACCAGGAUGUUGGCUUAGAAGCAGCCAUCCAUUCAAAGAGUGCGUAACAGCUCACUGGUCGAGUGGACAUGCGCCGACAAUACACGGGGCUAAGCUGGACACCGAAGCGGCGGGAUUUUAUCUAUAUAGAAUCGGUAGGGGAGCUUCCCAUGGGCGGCGAAGCCGCCGGGCGACCGGCGGUGGAGCGCAUGGGAGUGAGAAUGCUGGCAUGAGUAGCGAGAGACGAGAGAGUAACUCGUCCGCCGUGAACCCGAGGUUUCCUGGGCAAGGCUAAUCCUCCCAGGGUCAGUCGGGGGCUAAGGCGAGGCCGGUAGGCGUAGCCGACGCGCAGCAGGCAGACAUUCCUGCACCGCGCACGCGGCGCUACGACCGACGGGGCGACGGAUGGGGGUGGCUCGGCGGGGUUCUGGACGUCCCCGUGAUGGAGCGCGGCCCGCGGACCAGGGAAAUCCGGUCCGCACGAGGGCGAGGCUCCGGACGAAGCGAUCAAGCGAAGCGAGUGAGCCCGAGGUCCCUAGAAAAACCCCUAGGCAGGCGCGUGCGCGCCCGUACCGCAAACCGACACAGGUGGGUGGGUAGAACAUACCGAGGCGAUCGGGUCAACCAUGGUCAAGGAACUCGGCACAAUGGCCCCGUAACUUCGGGAGAAGGGGUGCCCGCGCGUACGUGAACCGGCUUGCCCGGGGAGCGGAGGCGGGCCGCAGUGGAGAGGCCCAAGCGACUGUUUACCAAAAACACAGGACUCUGCAGAAGCCGCAAGGCGACGUAUAGGGUCUGACGCCUGCCCGGUGCCGGAAGGUCACGCGGAGGAGUUAGCCGCAAGGCGAAGCCCCGAAGCCAAGCCCCGGUAAACGGCGGCCGUAACUAUAACGGUCCUAAGGUAGCGAAAUUCCUUGUCGGGUAAGUUCCGACCUGCACGAAAGGCGCAACGACUUGGGCGCUGUCUCGACCAUGGACCCGGUGAAAUUGCACUGGUCGUGAAGAUGCGACUUACCCGCGGAAGGACGGAAAGACCCCGUGAACCUUCACUGCAGCUUGGCAUUGGCCGCUGGUCCCGCGUGUAGAGGAUAGGCAGGAGGCACAGAUCCGGAGGCGCCAGCCCCCGGGGAGCCGCCCUUGGAAUACUGCCCUCGCGCGACCGGCGUCCUAACCCGAGGCCGUCAACCGGCUCGGGGACCGUGCCAGGCGGGCAGUUUGACUGGGGCGGUCGCCUCCUAAAGGGUAACGGAGGCGCGCGAAGGUCCGCUCGGGACGGUCGGCAACCGUCCUUUUGAAUGCAAGAGUACAAGCGGGCUUGACUGCGAGGCCCACAAGCCGAGCAGGUGCGAAAGCAGGCUCUAGUGAUCCGGCGGCCCCGAGUGGGUGGGCCGUCGCUCAACGGAUAAAAGGUACUCCGGGGAUAACAGGCUGAUCUUGCCCAAGAGUCCACAUCGACGGCAAGGUUUGGCACCUCGAUGUCGGCUCAUCGCAUCCUGGGGCUGGAGCAGGUCCCAAGGGUACGGCUGUUCGCCGUUUAAAGCGGUACGCGAGCUGGGUUCAGAACGUCGUGAGACAGUUCGGUCCCUAUCCGUCGCGGGCG